Molecule: ribosomal RNA, 619 nt
Filed under: uncultured bacterium
Lineage: Bacteria
Description: bacterial SSU rRNA
Rfam family: Bacterial small subunit ribosomal RNA
Source: RNAcentral
CGCGAAUGCCCUACAGCUUAAGUUGAUCAUGGCUCAGAGUCAACGCCNUAGUAAGGCCUAACACAUGCAAGUCGAACGGCAGCACAGGAGAGCUUGCUCUACUGGGUGGCGAGUGGCGGACGGGUGAGGAAUACAUCGGAAUCUACUCUGUCGUGGGGGAUAACGUAGGGAAACUUACGCUAAUACCGCAUACGACCUACGGGUGAAAGCAGGGGAUCUUCGGACCUUGCGCGAUUGAAUGAGCCGAUGUCGGAUUAGCUAGUUGGCGGGGUAAAGGCCCACCAAGGCGACGAUCCGUGGCUGGUCUGAGAGGAUGAUCAGCCACACUGGAACUGAGACACGGUCCAGACUCCUACGGGAGGCAGCAGUGGGGAAUAUUGGACAAUGGGCGCAAGCCUGAUCCAGCCAUACCGCGUGGGUGAAGAAGGCCUUCGGGUUGUAAAAGCCCUUUUGUUGGGACAAGAAAUCCAGCCGGCUAAUACCUGGUUGGGAUGACGGUACCCAAAGAAUUAGCACCGGCUAACUUUCGGUGCCANGCAAGCGCGGGUAAUACGAAGGGGUGCAAGGCGGUUACCUCGGGAAAAUUAACUUUGGGGCCCGUUAAACAAGCGGGUGCCGG